This 605-nucleotide ribosomal RNA is filed under the name uncultured Bacteroidota bacterium. Its description in RNAcentral is "bacterial SSU rRNA". It matches the Rfam family "Bacterial small subunit ribosomal RNA", at positions 315 to 916 of the family's 1533-position model. Lineage: Bacteria; Pseudomonadati; Bacteroidota. The record is from RNAcentral.
CGUACUGAGACACGGACCAGACUCCUACGGGAGGCAGCAGUGAGGAAUAUUGGACAAUGGGAGCAAUCCUGAUCCAGCCAUGCCGCGUGCAGGAAGACUGCCCUAUGGGUUGUAAACUGCUUUUAUACAGGAAGAAAAAGGUGUACGUGUACACUGUUGACGGUACUGUAAGAGUAAGGAUCGGCUAACUCCGUGCCAGCAGCCGCGGUAAUACGGAGGAUCCAAGCGUUAUCCGGAAUCAUUGGGUUUAAAGGGUCCGUAGGCGGGAUAAUAAGUCAGUGGUGAAAGCCUGCAGCUCAACUGUAGAAUUGCCAUUGAUACUGUUGUUCUUGAGUUAUUGUGAAGUGGUUAGAAUGAGUAGUGUAGCGGUGAAAUGCAUAGAUAUUACUCAGAAUACCGAUUGCGAAGGCAGAUCACUAACAAUACACUGACGCUGAUGGACGAAAGCGUAGGUAGCGAACAGGAUUAGAUACCCUGGUAGUCUACGCCGUAAACGAUGGUUACUAGCUGUUCGGGUUAAUUGAGACCUGAGUGGCUAAGCGAAAGUGAUAAGUAACCCACCUGGGGAGUACGUUCGCAAGAAUGAAACUCAAAGGAAUUGACGG